This 253-nucleotide ribosomal RNA is filed under the name uncultured bacterium. RNAcentral describes it as "partial 16S ribosomal RNA". It matches the Rfam family "Bacterial small subunit ribosomal RNA", at positions 524 to 776 of the family's 1533-position model. The record is from RNAcentral.
UACGAAGGGUGCAAGCGUUACUCGGAAUUACUGGGCGUAAAGCGUGCGCAGGCGGCUAUGCAAGACAGAUGUGAAAGCCCCGGGCUCAACCUGGGAAUGGCAUUUGUGACUGCACGGCUAGAGUGUGUCAGAGGGGGGUAGAAUUCCACGUGUAGCAGUGAAAUGCGUAGAGAUGUGGAGGAAUACCGAUGGCGAAGGCAGCCCCCUGGGAUGACACUGACGCUCAUGCACGAAAGCGUGGGGAGCAAACAGG